GGGGAAUCAUCACCCGGAGGGCUCUACAUCACCAUGCCCGCCUCCGGACUGAUGCAUGAGUAGUUCAUCCUUUGACUAUGGGUCCAUAGCAGUAUCUAGAUGGUUGUCUUCUCCUCUUGUGCUAUCAUGUUUAGAUCUUGUGAGCUGCCUAUCAUGAUCAAGAUCGUCUAUUUGUAAUGCUACAUGUUGUGUUUGUUGGGAUCCGAUGAAUAUGGAAUACUAUGUCAAGUUGAUUAUUGAUCUAUCA
Lolium perenne is the source of this 247-nucleotide non-coding RNA. The record is from RefSeq and is a predicted model, not a curated record. Lineage: Eukaryota; Viridiplantae; Streptophyta; Magnoliopsida; Poales; Poaceae.